AGAGUAGUUCCUGGAGGCCGCA
Molecule: non-coding RNA, 22 nt
Filed under: Arabidopsis thaliana (thale cress)
Lineage: Eukaryota; Viridiplantae; Streptophyta; Magnoliopsida; Brassicales; Brassicaceae
Source: RNAcentral